This 430-nucleotide ribosomal RNA is filed under the name uncultured bacterium. RNAcentral's name for it is "bacterial SSU rRNA". It matches the Rfam family "Bacterial small subunit ribosomal RNA", at positions 958 to 1392 of the family's 1533-position model. The record is from RNAcentral.
AACGCGAAGAACCUUACCUACCCUUGACAUGGAUGGAAUCCUUGAGAGAUUGAGGAGUGCCCGAAAGGGAACCAUUACACAGGUGCUGCAUGGCUGUCGUCAGCUCGUGUCGUGAGAUGUUGGGUUAAGUCCCGCAACGAGCGCAACCCUUGUCAUUAGUUGCUACGAAAGGGCACUCUAAUGAGACUGCCGGUGACAAACCGGAGGAAGGUGGGGAUGACGUCAAGUCCUCAUGGCCCUUAUGGGUAGGGCUUCACACGUCAUACAAUGGUACAUACAGAGGGCCGCCAACCCGCGAGGGGGAGCUAAUCCCAGAAAGUGUAUCGUAGUCCGGAUUGUAGUCUGCAACUCGACUGCAUGAAGUUGGAAUCGCUAGUAAUCGCGGAUCAGCAUGUCGCGGUGAAUACGUACCCGGGCCUUGUACACACCG